This is a long non-coding RNA of Equus caballus (horse), 750 nucleotides long. RefSeq lists it as uncharacterized. The record is from RefSeq and is a predicted model, not a curated record. NCBI's taxonomy places the organism in Eukaryota, Metazoa, Chordata, Mammalia, Perissodactyla, Equidae.
GGCGCGGCCGGCCCGGCCCCGUCAGCUGCGGGCCGCGCGUCCUGUCUCCUAGGCAGCGCGGGGGCACUUCCGGCGCCUCCUGAUGACGUUACGGCGCCGGCCGGAACACUGGCGCGUGAGUGGAAGCUUGCUCGCUCGUGGGGUCUCGUUGUGCAGCUGCGUGGGCCUUGGGCUGGAAAACGCAGAUUCCUGGUUCCUGCGUUUUUCAAACAAGCAUCUCUGGUGGUGCUGGUGCAGACGGCCAGCGAACUCUGGUUUGAAAAACGGGGCCCUGCCGAAGACACCCUUCACAGGUGACACCGAGCUUAAAAGUGCAAAGUCCCUUUUCCGGGUUCGCAUCUGGGACAUACUAGCGAUUCUCGAACUCAAGUGUCUCCUUCUGGAGCCAGAAACAUGCAGUUACACUGCGUAGGCCUCGGCUAAAGUUACUCUGAAUUACCUAAAGCCACACUGGGAAGAAAACAGACGCUUGGGAUCCCAAGAAGUGUACCUGGUUAGUGCUUACUGCAUACCUUCCCAGUCCCCCUAUUAUUUCCUGAGUUCUGUGCAUCCCCAUUUCAAAAGCUUCCCAGGCUCCCCUCCAUAUCGCUUCUCUGCUGCCAAAGCCAAGGACAAGGGAGACCAGAUGGAGACCAAGGGUUUCACAAGAAACUGAUCUUUACUCAACAAAGUUCUACACAAGUGGAAUCUCACGCCACCUCGGCGCCAAUCCCCAGCACAGCACAGUAACAAAUGGACAGACCCUGGAGC